GGAAGGAUCAUUAACAAAGUUAAUACACUAAUAACUAACUGAACCUGAUAGUGUGGGUGACUGCACUAUUCUUUGAACUACUUUGAUAAACAACAUAACUCAAUAUUGGUUGAUAAAACUUAAAUUUUCAACGAUGGAUGUCUUGGCUCCCAUAUCGAUGAAGAACGCAGCAAGAAUGCGAUAUGCAAUGUGAAUUGCAGAACCAUGAAUCAUCGGAUCUUUGAACGCAACUGGCGCUGAUUUACCUCAGCAUACUUGUUUCAGUGUGCGCAAACAACUACUCAAUCUAAAUGUGAGAGAAGUUCUCUCAUGAAGUACAUGCUCUCUGCAGCAGUCACAUUGAUUUGUGAGCUGUGGUGAAGACACUCGCCUUAU
RNAcentral lists this unclassified non-coding RNA (375 nucleotides) under uncultured haptorid ciliate. RNAcentral describes it as "sequence contains 18S rRNA gene, ITS1, 5.8S rRNA gene, ITS2". The stretch from base 123 to 269 matches the Rfam family "5.8S ribosomal RNA". Lineage: Eukaryota; Ciliophora; Litostomatea; Haptorida. The record is from RNAcentral.